AACGAACGCUGGCGGCAUGCCUAACACAUGCAAGUCGAACGAGGCCCUUCGGGGUUUAGUGGCGCACGGGUGCGUAACGCGUGGGAAUCUGCCCUUUGGUUCGGAAUAACAGCUGGAAACGGCUGCUAAUACCGGAUGAUGACGAAAGUCCAAAGAUUUAUCGCCAGAGGAUGAGCCCGCGUUGGAUUAGGUAGUUGGUGGGGUAAAGGCCUACCAAGCCGACGAUCCAUAGCUGGUCUGAGAGGAUGAUCAGCCACACUGGGACUGAGACACGGCCCAGACUCCUACGGGAGGCAGCAGUGGGGAAUUUUCCGCAAUGGGCGAAAGCCUGACGGAGCAACGCCGCGUGAGGGAUGAAGGCCUCUGGGCUGUAAACCUCUUUUAUCAAGGAAGAAGAUCUGACGGUACUUGAUGAAUAAGCCACGGCUAAUUCCGUG
RNAcentral lists this ribosomal RNA (437 nucleotides) under uncultured bacterium. Its description in RNAcentral is "bacterial SSU rRNA". It matches the Rfam family "Bacterial small subunit ribosomal RNA", at positions 29 to 507 of the family's 1533-position model. The record is from RNAcentral.